GAAAACAUCAUUGAUGGCCACAGGGUUCACCCCGCUGGGAUAACUGACCAGGAAUUCCUCCUAAAGAUAAUUCCCAAUAACCAAGACAGAUGUAGCUGAAGCUAUGAACACAAUUUGCAGAAGUGCUUUAGUGACUUGCAAACACAUCUCUUUACCUUUUCCGUCGCCAGUUCUCAAAGAGUUGAGGAUAAAAGGAGAUGGACCAGGCAACAAAAUAGAUCCAGCCAAUCACCUCAUCAGCAUAUCUCACUAUGAUGCUGUGAAUCACUUGAAAUUGAAUCCUAGGCCUGGUGGUUAAUGCAAGAAGAAUCAGUUAAUUCAUGUUUUUUUCAGGAGAUUUUAUCUUGUUCUGCUUUCAGAGAGGAAAUAGAGUCCAGGUGUUGAGACAAGACAAUAAAGAUUCUGUUGGGUUCA
Long non-coding RNA from Pyrgilauda ruficollis (rufous-necked snowfinch), 414 nucleotides. RefSeq lists it as uncharacterized. Lineage: Eukaryota; Metazoa; Chordata; Aves; Passeriformes; Passeridae. The transcript has 2 exons. The record is from RefSeq and is a predicted model, not a curated record.